Molecule: ribosomal RNA, 253 nt
Filed under: uncultured bacterium
Lineage: Bacteria
Description: partial 16S ribosomal RNA
Rfam family: Bacterial small subunit ribosomal RNA
Source: RNAcentral
UACGGAGGGUGCAAGCGUUGCUCGGAAUUAUUGGGCGUAAAGGGUAGGUAGGUGGUCUUAUUUGUCUGGGGUGAAAGCCUUGAGCUUAACUCGAGAAGUGCCCCAGAAACGGUAAGACUGGAGUCCUGGAGAGGGUCGUGGAAUUCCCGGUGUAGCGGUGAAAUGCGUAGAGAUCGGGAGGAACACCAGAGGCGAAAGCGGCGACCUGGACAGGCACUGACACUCAACUACGAAAGCGUGGGGAGCAAACAGG